GCGGAAUCGUCAGCACUCGUUAAACAGGGAGUAAGAGGGAGUAAUAGAGUUGCCUGCAAGAGUAAACCUAGUUCAAACCUGCGAAAUUUGACGUGCAGUCAGUAGACGACGACCUGGCUGUAAACUAGCAUUUUUUACGAUUAAUUAGAAAGGUUAUUUGCUUUUUGAUUAAAUACGGAGAGUUUGGAUAACACAAGGGAUCGAAACAUUU
Schizosaccharomyces pombe (fission yeast) is the source of this 211-nucleotide non-coding RNA. The record is from Rfam. Lineage: Eukaryota; Fungi; Ascomycota; Schizosaccharomycetes; Schizosaccharomycetales; Schizosaccharomycetaceae.